UGUGGUAUGGUGAAAUUGGUAUCACACAGGAUUUUGGCUCCUGGAUUUUGGGUUCGAGGCCUGAUACCACAACCA
This 75-nucleotide transfer RNA is filed under the name Caudoviricetes sp. Its description in RNAcentral is "tRNA-Gln". It matches the Rfam family "tRNA". Rfam says of the family: Transfer RNA (tRNA) molecules are approximately 80 nucleotides in length. Their secondary structure includes four short double-helical elements and three loops (D, anti-codon, and T loops). Further hydrogen bonds mediate the characteristic L-shaped molecular structure. tRNAs have two regions of fundamental functional importance: the anti-codon, which is responsible for specific mRNA codon recognition, and the 3' end, to which the tRNAs corresponding amino acid is attached (by aminoacyl-tRNA synthetases). tRNAs cope with the degeneracy of the genetic code in two manners: having more than one tRNA (with a specific anti-codon) for a particular amino acid; and 'wobble' base-pairing, i.e. permitting non-standard base-pairing at the 3rd anti-codon position. The record is from RNAcentral. Lineage: Duplodnaviria; Heunggongvirae; Uroviricota; Caudoviricetes.